RNAcentral lists this ribosomal RNA (441 nucleotides) under uncultured bacterium. RNAcentral's name for it is "partial 16S ribosomal RNA". It matches the Rfam family "Bacterial small subunit ribosomal RNA", at positions 338 to 795 of the family's 1533-position model. The record is from RNAcentral.
CCUACGGGUGGCAGCAGUGGGGAAUAUUGCACAAUGGGGGAAACUCUGAUGCAGCGACGCCGCGUGAGUGAUGAAGUAUCUCUGUAUGUAAAGCUCUAUCAGUAGGGAAGAAAAACGAGGCUACCUGACUAUGUAGCCCCGGCUAACUACGUGCCAGCAGCCGCGGUCAUACGUAGGUGGCACGCGUUGUCCGGAUUUCCUGGGUGUAAAGGGCGUGUAGCCGGGUUGACAAGUCAGAUGUGAAAUCCUGCGGCUUAACCGCAGAACUGCAUUUGAAACUGUUGAUCUUGAGUACUGGAGAGGCAGACGGAAUGCCUAGUGUAGCGGUGAAAUGCGUAGAUAUUAGGAGGAACACCGGUGGCGAAGGCAGUCUGCUGGACAGCAACUGACGGUGAGGCGCGAAAGCGUGGGGAGCAAACAGGAUUAGAUACCCGGGUAGUC